This 397-nucleotide ribosomal RNA is filed under the name uncultured bacterium. RNAcentral's name for it is "partial 16S ribosomal RNA". It matches the Rfam family "Bacterial small subunit ribosomal RNA", at positions 523 to 918 of the family's 1533-position model. The record is from RNAcentral.
AUACGUAGGGGGCGAGCGUUGUCCGGAAUGAUUGGGCGUAAAGGGCGCGUAGGCGGCGCGGUAAGUCUGGAGUGAAAGUCCUGCUUUCAAGGUGGGAAUUGCUUUGGAUACUGCCGCGCUUGAGUGCAGGAGAGGUUAUCGGAAUUCCCGGUGUAGCGGUGAAAUGCGUAGAGAUCGGGAGGAACACCAGUGGCGAAGGCGGGUAACUGGACUGCAACUGACGCUGAGGCGCGAAAGUGUGGGGAGCAAACAGGAUUAGAUACCCUGGUAGUCCACACUGUAAACGAUGAAUGCUAGGUGUAAGAGGUAUCGACCCCUUUUGUGCCGGGGUCAACACAAUAAGCAUUCCGCCUGGGGAGUACGGCCGCAAGGUUGAAACUCAAAUGAAUUGACGGGG